UGCAUGGCAGCGCAGUUGGCAGCACUGUUGCACUGUUGCCUUGCAGCAAGAGGGUCCUGGGUUCGACUCCCGGCCGUGCAU
Crenichthys baileyi (White River springfish) is the source of this 81-nucleotide non-coding RNA. The record is from the annotation of a GenBank genome assembly. NCBI's taxonomy places the organism in Eukaryota, Metazoa, Chordata, Actinopteri, Cyprinodontiformes, Goodeidae.